UACCAUGCUGAAUAUACCGGUUCUCGUUAGAUCACCGAAGUUAAGCAUCAUUGGGCGCGGUCAGUACUUGGGUGGGUGACCACCUGGGAACACUGCGUGCCGU
RNAcentral lists this ribosomal RNA (103 nucleotides) under Caerostris darwini. The record is from RNAcentral. Lineage: Eukaryota; Metazoa; Arthropoda; Arachnida; Araneae; Araneidae.